UGGGGAAUCUUCCGCAAUGGACGAAAGUCUGACGGAGCAACGCCGCGUGUAUGAUGAAGGUCUUCGGAUUGUAAAGUACUGUCAUUGGGGAAGAACGGUUUUCUUGAAAAGAUUGAGAAGACAUGACGGUACCCAAGGAGGAAGCCCCGGCUAACUACGUGCCAGCAGCCGCGGUAAUACGUAGGGGGCAAGCGUUGUCCGGAAUUAUUGGGCGUAAAGGGCGCGUAGGCGGGCCUUUAAGUCCGGUGUGAAAGAUCAGGGCUCAACCCUGAGAGUGCAUCGGAAACUGGAGGCCUUGAGGACAGGAGAGGAAAGUGGAAUUCCACGUGUAGCGGUGAAAUGCGUAGAUAUGUGGAGGAACACCAGUGGCGAAGGCGACUUUCUGGACUGUAAGCUGACGCUGAGGCGCGAAAGCGUGGGGAGCAAACAGGAUUAGAUACCCUGGUAGUCCACGCCGUAAACGAUGAGUGCUAGGUGUAGAGGGUAUCGACCCCUUCUGUGCCGCAGUUAACACAAUAAGCACU
This 524-nucleotide ribosomal RNA is filed under the name uncultured bacterium. RNAcentral describes it as "partial 16S ribosomal RNA". It matches the Rfam family "Bacterial small subunit ribosomal RNA", at positions 355 to 868 of the family's 1533-position model. The record is from RNAcentral.